Non-coding RNA from Paramuricea clavata, 285 nucleotides. The record is from the annotation of a GenBank genome assembly. NCBI's taxonomy places the organism in Eukaryota, Metazoa, Cnidaria, Anthozoa, Malacalcyonacea, Plexauridae.
UUACUUGAAGAAAAAAACGCGGAAAAUAAAAAAGCGACUAAAACCGCCGUCAAUGUCUUUCGCCAGCAUUUAGAAGCAAGAUAAAUCAACGAAGACGAUCUAGUUGGCUCAAAAGAAACUCUUGCCAACGUCCAUCGCAAGUUUUAUGCAGAAGCAAGAAAGAGAGACGGCGAACUUAUAUAUUAAACGAAAGAUAAAAUUAAACUUUAGAAGUGAAUAAUUGCUGCGGAGCGAGCGAGCCUGAAGCGAGCGAGCGUAGCAGCAGCCUAAUAUAUGCAGAGAGGG